RNAcentral lists this ribosomal RNA (770 nucleotides) under Fusarium sp. UTMC 5039. RNAcentral's name for it is "SSU rRNA". It matches the Rfam family "Eukaryotic small subunit ribosomal RNA", at positions 95 to 884 of the family's 1831-position model. Lineage: Eukaryota; Fungi; Ascomycota; Sordariomycetes; Hypocreales; Nectriaceae. The record is from RNAcentral.
GGCUCAUUAUAUAAGUUAUCGUUUAUUUGAUAGUACCUUACUACUUGGAUAACCGUGGUAAUUCUAGAGCUAAUACAUGCUAAAAAUCCCGACUUCGGAAGGGAUGUAUUUAUUAGAUUAAAAACCAAUGCCCUCCGGGGCUCACUGGUGAUUCAUGAUAACUCCUCGAAUCGCAUGGCCUUGCGCCGGCGAUGGUUCAUUCAAAUUUCUUCCCUAUCAACUUUCRAUGUUUGGGUAUUGGCCAAACAUGGUUGCAACGGGUAACGGAGGGUUAGGGCUCGACCCCGGAGAAGGARCCUGAGAAACGGSUACUACAUCCAAGGAAGGCAGCAGGCGCGCAARUUACCCAAUCCCGACUCGGGGAGGUARUGACAAUAAAUACUGAUACAGGGCUCUUUUGGGUCUUGUAAUUGGAAUGAGUACAAUUUAAAUCCCUUAACGAGGAACAAUUGGAGGGCAAGUCUGGUGCCAGCAGCCGCGGUAAUUCCAGCUCCAAUAGCGUAUAUUAAAGUUGUUGUGGUUAAAAAGCUCGUAGUUGAACCUUGGGCCUGGCUGGCCGGUCCGCCUCACCGCGUGUACUGGUCCGGCCGGGCCUKUCCCUCUGUGGAACCCCAUGCCCUUCACUGGGUGUGGCGGGGAAACAGGACUUUUACUGUGAAAAAAAUUAGAGUGCUCCAGGCASGCCUAUGCUCGAAUACAUUAKCAUGGAAKAAUAGAAUAGGACGUGUGGUUCUAUUUUGUUGGUUUCUASGACCGCCGUAAUGAUUAAU